CACACACACACACACACACACACACACACACACUACUUUACUUCUUACUCCUCAGGUCUACCAGCACCUCAGUCAGGAGGAGAGGUUAGGACACAGACACAUAAACACACAGUUGGCAGAUGCUUUUUCAACCAUUCAGGAUGAAUUAGCAUUUAAGUGAAGUGCUCUCCAAAGCACUUCUCUUCAAGCUAGUGGUGAUUGUGUUUAUGAGUGGUCACAUGUGGACGUACUAUUGUGGCCUCCACCAUGGGCAGACUGGCCAUGUGGCAUACCGGGCAUUUUCCCGGUGGGCCGACGCACCUUUUGGGCCGAUAGAAUAGGCUAUAUAUAUAAUUUAAUCAUUUUGGCCAACGAUCUGCCCAAAGGAAGGACAAUCAGCGGCCCACUGGUUACAUUUCCAUAUGUCGACUGAUCCAAUAACAGCUCACGUCAGGCCCUCCCCUCGCAUUUUGGCCCAGAGCCAGGAUUUUGUGAGCCAUCAGAAGUUAAUCGAAGUUGCCUACACGAAAUUGCGGCGGAUGCCGGUAGUGACAAUAGUGCAAAAG
Long non-coding RNA from Alosa sapidissima (American shad), 545 nucleotides. RefSeq lists it as uncharacterized. The record is from RefSeq and is a predicted model, not a curated record. NCBI's taxonomy places the organism in Eukaryota, Metazoa, Chordata, Actinopteri, Clupeiformes, Clupeidae. The transcript has 2 exons.